This 698-nucleotide ribosomal RNA is filed under the name Marinobacter nauticus ATCC 49840. RNAcentral's name for it is "bacterial SSU rRNA". It matches the Rfam family "Bacterial small subunit ribosomal RNA", at positions 59 to 748 of the family's 1533-position model. The record is from RNAcentral. Lineage: Bacteria; Pseudomonadati; Pseudomonadota; Gammaproteobacteria; Pseudomonadales; Marinobacteraceae.
CAGUCGAGCGGUAACAGGGGAAGCUUGCUUCCCGCUGACGAGCGGCGGACGGGUGAGUAAUGCUUAGGAAUCUGCCCAGUAGUGGGGGAUAGCCCGGGGAAACCCGGAUUAAUACCGCAUACGUCCUACGGGAGAAAGCAGGGGAUCUUCGGACCUUGCGCUAUUGGAUGAGCCUAAGUCGGAUUAGCUAGUUGGUGGGGUAAAGGCCUACCAAGGCGACGAUCCGUAGCUGGUCUGAGAGGAUGAUCAGCCACAUCGGGACUGAGACACGGCCCGAACUCCUACGGGAGGCAGCAGUGGGGAAUAUUGGACAAUGGGGGCAACCCUGAUCCAGCCAUGCCGCGUGUGUGAAGAAGGCUUUCGGGUUGUAAAGCACUUUCAGUAGGGAGGAAAACCUUAUGGCUAAUACCCAUGAGGCUUGACGUUACCUACAGAAGAAGCACCGGCUAACUCCGUGCCAGCAGCCGCGGUAAUACGGAGGGUGCAAGCGUUAAUCGGAAUUACUGGGCGUAAAGCGCGCGUAGGUGGUUUGGUAAGCGAGAUGUGAAAGCCCCGGGCUUAACCUGGGAACGGCAUUUCGAACUGUCAGACUAGAGUGUGGUAGAGGGUAGUGGAAUUUCCUGUGUAGCGGUGAAAUGCGUAGAUAUAGGAAGGAACACCAGUGGCGAAGGCGGCUACCUGGACCAACACUGACACUG